AGUGAACGCUGGCGGUAGGCCUAACACAUGCAAGUCGAACGGCAGCACAGGAGAGCUUGCUCUCUGGGUGGCGAGUGGCGGACGGGUGAGGAAUACAUCGGAAUCUACUCUGUCGUGGGGGAUAACGUAGGGAAACUUACGCUAAUACCGCAUACGACCUACGGGUGAAAGCAGGGGACCUUAGGGCCUUGGGCGAUUGAAUGAGCCGAUGUCGGAUUAGCUAGUUGGCGGGGUAAGGGCCGACCAAGGCGACGAUCCGUAGCUGGUCUGAGAGGAUGAUCAGCCACACUGGAACUGAGACACGGUCCAGACUCCUACGGGAGGCAGCAGUGGGGAAUAUUGGACAAUGGGCGCAAGCCUGAUCCAGCCAUACCGCGUGGGUGAAGAAGGCCUUCGGGUUGUAAAGCCCUUUUGUUGGGAAAGAAAUCCAGCUGGCUAAUACCCGGUUGGGAUGACGGUACCCAAAGAAUAAGCACCGGCUAACUUCGUGCCAGCCGCCGCAGUAA
RNAcentral lists this ribosomal RNA (506 nucleotides) under uncultured bacterium. RNAcentral's name for it is "partial 16S ribosomal RNA". It matches the Rfam family "Bacterial small subunit ribosomal RNA", at positions 29 to 523 of the family's 1533-position model. The record is from RNAcentral.